Molecule: ribosomal RNA, 484 nt
Filed under: uncultured bacterium
Lineage: Bacteria
Description: partial 16S ribosomal RNA
Rfam family: Bacterial small subunit ribosomal RNA
Source: RNAcentral
AUUGAACGCUGGCGGCAGGCCUAACACAUGCAAGUCGAGCGGAUGAAGGGAGCUUGCUCCUGGAUUCAGCGGCGGACGGGUGAGUAAUGCCUAGGAAUCUGCCUGGUAGUGGGGGAUAACGUCCGGAAACGGGCGCUAAUACCGCAUACGUCCUGAGGGAGAAAGUGGGGGAUCUUCGGACCUCACGCUAUCAGAUGAGCCUAGGUAGGAUUAGCUAGUUGGUGGGGUAAAGGCCUACCAAGGCGACGAUCCGUAACUGGUCUGAGAGGAUGAUCAGUCACACUGGAACUGAGACACGGUCCAGACUCCUACGGGAGGCAGCAGUGGGGAAUAUUGGACAAUGGGCGAAAGCCUGAUCCAGCCAUGCCGCGUGUGUGAAGAAGGUCUUCGGAUUGUAAAGCACUUUAAGUUGGGAAGAAGGGCAGUAAGUUAAUACCUUGCUGUUUUGACGUUACCAACAGAAUAAGCACCGGCUAACUUCGUG